This is a small nuclear RNA of Cynocephalus volans (Philippine flying lemur), 139 nucleotides long. RefSeq annotates it as U4 spliceosomal RNA. Lineage: Eukaryota; Metazoa; Chordata; Mammalia; Dermoptera; Cynocephalidae. The transcript has a single exon. The record is from RefSeq and is a predicted model, not a curated record.
AGCUUUGUGCAGUCGUAAUAUUGUAGUCAAUGAGGUUUAUUGAGGUGCAAUUGUUGCUAAUUGAAAACAUCUCCUAAUACUCACUGUGAAGAUUUGCAAUAUAAUUAGUAUUAACAAUCUUUGACAUUUUCUAUAGAGA